GAGAGGACCGGGAUGGACGCACCGCUAGUGUCCCAGUUGUCCCGCCAGGGGCACGGCUGGGUGGCUAUGUGCGGACCGGAUAAGCGCUGAAAGCAUCUAAGCGCGAAACCGACCUCAAGAUUAGAUUUCCCACUGGGUAACCAGGUAAGACUCCUGAUAGACCAUCAGGUCGAUAGGCCGGGUGUGUAAGCGCAGUAAUGCGUUAAGCUGACCGGUACUAAUCAGUCGAGGGCUUGACCUUACCU
This 245-nucleotide ribosomal RNA is filed under the name Bacillota bacterium. Its description in RNAcentral is "partial 23S ribosomal RNA". It matches the Rfam family "Bacterial large subunit ribosomal RNA", at positions 2685 to 2925 of the family's 2925-position model. Lineage: Bacteria; Bacillati; Bacillota. The record is from RNAcentral.